CUCAGAGCGAACGGUGCGGCAGGCUUAACACAUGCAAGUCGAGCGGGCACUUUCGGGUGUCAGCGGCGGACGGGUGAGUAACGCGUGGGAACGUGCCUUCUGGUUCGGAAUAACUCAGGGAAACUUGAGCUAAUACCGGAUACGCCCUUUUGGGGAAAGGUUUACUGCCGGAAGAUCGGCCCGCGUCUGAUUAGCUAGUUGGUGGGGUAACGGCCUACCAAGGCGACGAUCAGUAGCUGGUCUGAGAGGAUGAUCAGCCACACUGGGACUGAGACACGGCCCAGACUCCUACGGGAGGCAGCAGUGGGGAAUAUUGGACAAUGGGGGCAACCCUGAUCCAGCCAUGCCGCGUGAGUGAUGAAGGCCUUAGGGUUGUAAAGCUCUUUUAUCCGGGACGAUAAUGACGGUACCGGAGGAAUAAGCCCCGGCUAACUUCGUGCCAGCAGCCGCGGUAAUACGAAGGGGGCUAGCGUUGCUCGGAAUCACUGGGCGUAAAGGGCGCGUAGGCGGUCUUUUAAGUCGGGGGUGAAAGCCUGUGGCUCAACCACAGAAUUGCCUUCGAUACUGGGAGACUUGAGUUCGGAAGAGGUUGGUGGAACUGCGAGUGUAGAGGUGAAAUUCGUAGAUAUUCGCAAGAACACCGGUGGCGAAGGCGGCCAACUGGUCCGACACUGACGCUGAGCGCGAAAGCGUGGGGAGCAAACA
This 705-nucleotide ribosomal RNA is filed under the name Methylobacterium sp. TSAA(2010). RNAcentral describes it as "bacterial SSU rRNA". It matches the Rfam family "Bacterial small subunit ribosomal RNA", at positions 23 to 774 of the family's 1533-position model. Lineage: Bacteria; Pseudomonadati; Pseudomonadota; Alphaproteobacteria; Hyphomicrobiales; Methylobacteriaceae. The record is from RNAcentral.